This 378-nucleotide ribosomal RNA is filed under the name Orthodera novaezealandiae. RNAcentral's name for it is "partial 12S ribosomal RNA". Lineage: Eukaryota; Metazoa; Arthropoda; Insecta; Mantodea; Mantidae. The record is from RNAcentral.
AUUAGAUACCCUAUUAUUUUUAUUGUAAAAUUAUGAAAUCAGAGUAGUAGUAGUUAUGAUCUUGAAACUUAAAGAAUUUGGCGGUAUUAUAGUCUAUUUAGAGGAAUCUGUUAUGUAAUCGAUAGUCCACGUUGAACCUUACUUAUAUUAUUUCUUGUAUACCGCUGUUUAAGAAUAUUCUUUUAGGAUAUUUUCCGGAUAUAAAAAUAAUUAAAAUUUCAAGUCAAGGUGCAGUAAUAUAUAAGUUGAAUAAUGGAUUACAAUAAAUUUUAUUUAUUAUGGAUGGUUAUUGAAAAGUAAUUUGAAGGUGGAUUUAAUUGUAAUUUUAUAAAGAUUAUUAAAAUGAUUUAUAGCUCUAUAAUAUGCACACAUCGCCCG